This is a long non-coding RNA of Taeniopygia guttata (zebra finch), 4633 nucleotides long. NCBI's taxonomy places the organism in Eukaryota, Metazoa, Chordata, Aves, Passeriformes, Estrildidae. The record is from Ensembl.
AUGGCCGCCGGGGAGCCGCGGCUCUUGGCGCGCUGCGAGCCUGGCCCGGCGCCCACACGCAGCCCGCGCCCUCCCCGCCCCGCCGCCCGCUCCGACUGGCGCUGGGGCACGCGGCGCGCGGGGAGGCGGAGCCGCUGUCACGCUCGCCGCGCGCCCGGCAGCCAAUGGGCGGCCCGGGAGAACGCGGGCAGCACGCGGAGCCCGCGUGUCCCGCGGCACGGGCUAUCAAUCACCCGCCAGUCACUCGCCCCGCCCGCCCCGCCCGCGGCUCCCCCGCUCGGUGCCCGUGCCCCUCGCUGCCCCCCGUGCCCGCGGCCGCACCGGCGCUGGGGAGCCUUCUGCGGCCGCCGCUGCCUUGUCACAGGGCUGGGGUGCGAGGGAGUCGCCGCCGCACUAGUGCGGCUCCCCCGCGGCCUCGGUUUCUGCCGCCAGCGCCAAGCCAGAGCGGCCCGGCCCCCUCGGGAUGCCCGCGGCGCGGGCUCUGCUCCCGGUGCCCUCCCCCGCUGGGGGCCGAGAGGCGGAGCCGCCGUGGCCGCCGCCCGCCGCCUUUAUCUGGCGUGGCGGCGCGGGGGGUGGCGCUGGGGAACACCUUGUUGUAAGAUACGCGCUAUAAAUACGGCGCCGGGGAUGGGUGUGCGGCCACGGGCGGCGGGGAACAGCUUCGAACUACGGACUCUGAUCGCGGGCAGCCGCCGAGCGCAGGCCGCGACGGAGGGCGGCCGGUGCCGCUAGCGCCGAGGAGGAGGAGGAGGAGGUCGCCGCCGCCGGAGGAGCCUCGCGGUCCGGUCCCAGCCGCGUCGCUGAACACGCCUGCCCAGCCGCCAGCAUGAUGCAGAUCUGCGACUCGUACAGCCAGAAGUACUCCCUCUUCAACGCCAUGAACCGCUUCAUCGGCGCCGUCAACAACAUGGACCAGACGGUGAUGGUGCCGAGCCUGCUGCGCGACGUGCCGCUGCUGCUGGAGGAGCUGGACGCGGCGGGCGCCGUGUGCCCAACCCGGGAUGCUGCCCUGCCGCCCGGCGACCCCGGCGCCUACUUCUCCCGCAGGGACAUGUACAGCCACUACAUGCUGCUCAAAUCCAUCCGCAACGACAUCGAGUGGGGCGUGGUGCAGCCGCCGGCGGGCGAGGAGGCCGCCCGCAAGAAGGACAAGCUGGGCGGCGGGCCCGCCGAGGAGGGCGAGGGCGAGGAGGACCUGGAGCAGCAGUUCCAUUACCACCUCAGCGGACUCCACUCGGUCCUCUCCAAGCUCACCCGCAAGGCCAACGUCCUCACCAACAGAUACAAGCAGGAGAUCGGCGUCAGCAGCUGGGGGCAGUGAGCGCAGCGGGGAAGGGGCUCCGAGCCGGCGGGAGCGGCGCGUCCCCGCCCGGCGCUGCCGCUGCUGCGGCGGCCGAGGGCAGCGCCCCGGGCCCGGGCUUCCCUGCGCGCUCCCGAGACUGCAGCAGGUUUUCUACCAACGCACAAGCGAGAGAAAGAAAUGUAAAUUAAUCAAUACUAGUUUAUUAAUUAUUUUGACCCCCCCUCCGUGUUUUUUUCGUUGUGCGGUCCGGGGCGAGCAGGCGCUGUGCCCGCCUCGGCAGGGAGGCUGAACCCGUGUGCGUACGAGGUGGUGGCAUUGCUGGCUGAUGAUGAGGAGGCUCCGCUCAAGCCGAUGAACAUAACGAAACUGGCACGAAAUUGUUUCUGUCACCUCGGAGGGAACCCAGUGAGCUAAGGAACAUCCCUCUGUUGUGGGAGAGAUGGCGGGUCCCAUGGUUGUACAUGUACUGGAGUUUAUUUAAAACUUUUUUACUCAGAUGUAGAGUAUAUUCUAAAAUAAAUGCAAAUGUAUUAACUAAGAGUGACCUAAACUUUUGGUAUGAUUUAUCUUUAAUUAAAUGAUAUUUUUAACAUCUAGAAUUCUUCUGUUUUUCUUCUAUGUUACAUUCAGACUUGCCUUACUAGAUACAGAAAUCUCUCUGUGCAAGAGAGGGGGUUUUGUGGCUUUUUUUUUUUUUCCAUCAAAGCAAUUAGGCAGUGAUGAUAACUUGGCACAUCUAAAAUGUUUGAAUCACCAUAUUAAACUUAACCAUACAUGGCCUGAAUUUUGGGAGCUGUUCCCAGCUGCACAGUGCAGUUGCUCUGUGUGAGUGCUGGCUUGAAGGUCAGUGCCUCUUUAACAAAAUCUGAGAAGAUCGAGUCAUGGUUACUCUGCAGGCAGCGAUUCAUGGAAAUUGGACCAAAGCCGAGGAAUGACUCUUGCUUUUUUCGGGAAGUAUCUUAAUGUACUGUGGGGAGCUCUUUUCUCUCCCUCAGAAUAGGUCUGGCAGACUUGCCUCCCCAGUCUUGCAUUUCUUUUCUCUAAUCCUCCUUGGAUUCCAGGAGUUAAUUGGUUUUAUAUUGUCCAGAUUGUAUUGAUUUCUUUCUCUCUACUUUUUUUUUCAUUUUUCUGAAGUAAAGUACCUCACAAUUGGGUGUAUAGAUUGUGUUCUAACAUUAAGUUUUGAUAUCAAAGCGCAUUUGCUAGUUGUGAUAAAAUACGUAACAGAGAAUAAAUGUUUAAUAAAUAUGUAAGCCCUUACAUCAUGUAAUUUUUUUUCUCAGGCACUGAAAUGCCAAAUUUGUAGACAUACUGAGAUUUCACUUUGUAUUACUGUUAUCAAAUUUAGGGCUUGUUUGGUGGUGUUGGUUUGGGAUUUUUCUUCUAAAAAUAGAAGCAUAUUUCUCUUCAAGGAUAUUUUUGUUUAAAUUCAGAUAUUCCUUAGCACUUUAUUUUUCAGCCCAACUGUUAGGAUGUUGUAGUAAAGCAUGAGCACUCCAGACAUGGUACUCGUUGGCAGAUGUUUGUGUACGUUAAAACACUUGGCCUGAAUCUAUGUUUAAAAAUAUAUAUAUAUUGGAAGGUUUUUUCCCUUCUGGGGUAAAGAACAGCUUUGUAAGGCUGGAUAAUUUUUAGUUUGGCGAUGCUUGUUCUUUUCGUAAUGUUUUUAGUGCCUCUUCCCCUCCCCUCUUGGGAAGAUGCCAGGAAAAAAGUCAGCAACAAGGAGAGGGAUUACCCUGGUUUCCUAACAUGUCAGCUUGCCAGUCUUCCCACAGUCGAGCUAAUGCAAUGUGAAAGGUGCAGUGCCCUGUGCUGGAUGGUGGAGCUCUGUUCUGAAGACAAGGCUGAGGGAGAACCUGUUCUGCUGUGUGGCUCCCUUCUGGCCCUGCACUCCAUCAGCUGGAAACCACAGGCGAAACCUCCGACAAAAGCAGCUCUUGGAGUUUCGCCCCUGUGCCUUUUGAUCUCCUGGUAACUUCUCCUGGUAUGGGUUUAGACAAUACUGUUUAAAUGUUGCACAAGAGACAAUGUGAUGCUGAUUUAGGCUAUGAGUAAUGUCAGAAAAAUAGUGUUACAUUAAUGCAGCAGAGCCAUGAUUAUGGCAUCCAUUCCCUUUGCAUUCUAAAAUAAAAAGCACAAAAGUUUUGGUGAAAGAGCAGCUGAAAUCUUGUGCUAUGGGGCAGCAAGAGUGGCAUUUCCUUACCGGUAAAACUUUGGGUAAGAGGAGAAGGAGGAGGACUCUGACUCAAAGGUUUGCCUUGCCCCUCUCUGUGACUAAGCUGCAGUUGCUGCACUGCACGUGGCUCCCAUGCAGGGGCCCAUGCAGGGCUGGCAGCAGCCCUGCUAAUCCCAACUCAGCAAAACCUGCUGAGAGCCACAGCAGCUGAAGAGACUCCUGCCACCUCCCACCUGGAAGCUGCCUUAGAAUUUCCCCUUCUCAAGGGCAUGGGAGAGGAUUGAGGCUCUUGGGAUCAAGAAAGUGAUAUCUUAAUGCAGGGGGGAGAAAACAACAGAUAAAAGCAGGCAUGACUUGGCUGCUGGCUGUUGUGUAAAACAACUUGGCUUAAAAGGUGGGGUGGUCAGGCAAUUAUGUAAAUGCUGACUCCUGGCAUUGCAGUGAGCAAAGAUGAGAUUGCAGAGUCUUAAUGCAGGUUUUGUAUGUUAGAUGCUAAAUUGGGAAAAAAUUCCGUCAGCAGCACUAUAUAAAACAAUUAGGUUUGUUAUUAAGGAGUUAUGUUUCCUUUUGAAGGACUGGAUCACUUUAAGUCUCCCAAUUGUUUACAGAGUUCAGCAAACCUUUAGGCUGGUCUGGUAGAGUUAAUCUGGUACUUGUGUUAAUGACAAAUUACAUCAGUCUAAUGUAAAUGUAUCUUCAUGAUCUCAAAUACUUUGGGAAAUGACUUAACUUCUUAGCCACACACAGGCAAAAAGACAACUUGCCAAACAGCCAUGCUCAAAACAGGGGAUAUGCACUGUGAGAAGCAGUUGUCAUUUUUAGCUCACUUAAGUGAAAUAGACUCCAUAUAGAGCAAGGCAGACAUUAGAAGAGCAGUAAAUAAUGAGAUUCAGAGUUGUUUGCUCUAACAAAUUGAUUACAGCAGAAGUUAUCUUACAGCCAAGGAGCCUCAAGGACAGUGCUCAUGGCAUGCAUCAGUUAAUAUAUGAAAGUGCAGUAUCUGUCAUUAUAGCUCAUGAGUCAACUCUUGUUUUUGUGUAUACAAAAGAAGGACAAAGGAGGGAAAGCCGUGCUUUUCUCUCUCUCUUUCUCUCUAUAAAAAUAAAGGAUGGGUGUGAUUUCCAUGGGAAGAACAAGAAUCAUGGCCUGGUCAG